Molecule: long non-coding RNA, 1485 nt
Filed under: Salvia miltiorrhiza (redroot sage)
Lineage: Eukaryota; Viridiplantae; Streptophyta; Magnoliopsida; Lamiales; Lamiaceae
Description: long non-coding RNA (SMIL_LNC007440)
Source: RNAcentral
CUGGAGAAGAAAUAUUGAACAAACAACAAAGAAAAAAGAAGAAGCUUACUCUCUAAGCUCAUCAGCAGUGAGCUCAUCGUUUCUGAAAACUUCGAAUUCAACCUAGCUCUGCCAUAUACUGUGGAACACCAAAUGAGUAGCAAAAAAUAAAAUCGAAGCAUUAUUAUAUCUUAUGUAAUGUAAUUACUAAUUAAGAAUAAUGAAUCUAUAAAAUAACGAAAGAAAUUGAUAAGAAAAUACUUCCCUGGCCAUUUAAUAAUAGAAACUCAUAUCUAUUGCUAUCCACAAAUACCCACUAUAGAAUAUUAGAGGAAAGCUAGUGAAAUAUCUUACCCUAAUCCGUAGACGGUCAGCAACCUCAGAUUAUUCAUCAUAUACCUCAUCAAUUACCUGCAACAGUUCACAGAAGAAACAAGAAGUUCACAAACAUUAAAUAUCUUCGUGAUAAUCGGAAAAUCAAAACUACUGCAAGGUUCAAGAACAAGAAUUUCAUUCAAGGAAAUAUAGCAUAACAUAGUUACAAGCAUUCGAAAUUUGCAAGCUAAACUAUCAAUUGAUUAUAUAAGGUUCACAAAAAUCUACAUUACCUUCUCCUCUAUGGAAGAUCAGUUUGUAUUUUGUAAGCUUUAAGGCAACCAUUGGUAACCUACAUUUCAUCGAAUAGUUGGUGUACUAAUCAGUUCAUAUUUUGCUCAAUCUCCAUAGUUAAUACAACUACCAAUUUGCCUAGAUUUAUCACUUCAUUAAAAAACUACAUUAGAAUUUUCACUAACCAUCAAAUUAUCCUUCCCUUAGCAGCCGCAUGAGCAGAGGUCAGUUUUCUUCUUCUUUUUUUUGCCUUUGUGUAAUUCGCUUCACUGGCGUUCAGUUUCCUGAGCCUCUGCCUCUGAAUUGUUUCCACCUGCACAAAUAUGUCGAAGUUCUCCAUCAACAAUUGACUGCAUUCUAGACUCAAAAUAUAUAAAAGAUUUAUUAAUCACCCUAUUCACUUUGUGGCGGAAAAUGUCGUGCCGAUCAAUCAGAUUGAUUUUGAGGUCAUUCUGCAAAUAGAAUCUAGAAACUAGAAUAUGAGAGAGAGAGAGAGAGAGAGAGCUUACCGGAGGUGGGGUGGUGAACGGGAGCCGCGAAAGAGAAGAACGACAGCCUUGACUAGGGCUUUUAAUUUGGGGAUGAGAAAUAUUCUGAGAAGAAAGCCGGCAAGCCGGCAGCGGUAUAAUUGUAGUUUUAUCUUACAGACUAGACCAUUUACCGAGGGAAAUAAAUCACUCGGUAAAAUUAAAACUAUAAAUCUAAAACUAAUUUAAUCUGAUUAAAAAUUAAAGAGACAUUUACCGAGGGAAUGAUUCUCUCGGUAAAAUAUUCACUCGGUAUUCCCUCAGUAAACCUGCAAAUACAUUAAUUCUCGGAAAAUUCUCGCCAAAUACUCGUUAUUUACCGAGUGAAAUAACUCCGUCGGCAAUUCCUCGGUAAAAAGAUGUUUUUUUG